This 253-nucleotide ribosomal RNA is filed under the name uncultured bacterium. RNAcentral's name for it is "partial 16S ribosomal RNA". It matches the Rfam family "Bacterial small subunit ribosomal RNA", at positions 524 to 776 of the family's 1533-position model. The record is from RNAcentral.
GACAGAGGGGGCGAGCGUUGCUCGGAAUUACUGGGCGUAAAGGGCGCGUAGGCGGAAUGGCAAGUCGGUCGUGAAAUCCUUCGGCUCAACCGAAGAACGUCGAUCGAAACUGCCGUUCUUGAGGAUUGCAGAGGAGACUGGAAUUCCCGGUGUAGCGGUGAAAUGUGUAGAGAUCGGGAGGAACACCGGUGGCGAAGGCGGGUCUCUGGGCAAUUCCUGACGCUGAGGCGCGAAAGCGUGGGGAGCAAACGGG